This 253-nucleotide unclassified non-coding RNA is filed under the name uncultured Parcubacteria group bacterium. RNAcentral describes it as "contains 16S-23S intergenic spacer region". It matches the Rfam family "Bacterial small subunit ribosomal RNA", at positions 524 to 776 of the family's 1533-position model. The record is from RNAcentral.
UACAGAGGCCCCGAGCGUUACCCGGAAUCACUGGGCGUAAAGGGUGUGUAGGCGGCAGUGUUAGUCUUCUGUGAAAGCUCGCGGCUCAACCGCGAAUCCGCAGAGGAAACGGCACCGCUAGAGGAUGCGAGAGGUCAAGGGAACUCAUGGUGUAGGGGUGAAAUCCGUUGAUAUCAUGGGGAACACCGAAAGCGAAGGCACUUGACUGGCGCACUCCUGACGCUGAAACACGAAAGCGUAGGUAGCGAAUGGG